GAUGAACGCUGGCGGCGUGCUUAACACAUGCAAGUCGAACGAAGAAGCCCAGCUUGCUGGGUGGAUUAGUGGCGAACGGGUGAGUAACACGUGAGUAACCUGCCCUUAACUCUGGGAUAAGCCUGGGAAACUGGGUCUAAUACCGGAUAGGAGCGCCUACCGCAUGGUGGGUGUUGGAAAGAUUUAUCGGUUUUGGAUGGACUCGCGGCCUAUCAGCUUGUUGGUGAGGUAAUGGCUCACCAAGGCGACGACGGGUAGCCGGCCUGAGAGGGUGACCGGCCACACUGGGACUGAGACACGGCCCAGACUCCUACGGGAGGCAGCAGUGGGGAAUAUUGCACAAUGGGCGAAAGCCGGAUGCAGCGACGCCGCGUGAGGGAUGACGGCCUUCGGGUUUUAAACCUCUUUCAGUAGGGAAGAAGCGAAAGUGACGGUACCUGCAGAAGAAGCACCGGCUAACUACGUG
This 466-nucleotide ribosomal RNA is filed under the name uncultured bacterium. Its description in RNAcentral is "partial 16S ribosomal RNA". It matches the Rfam family "Bacterial small subunit ribosomal RNA", at positions 28 to 507 of the family's 1533-position model. The record is from RNAcentral.